AUGAAGAUACCUCUUAAGAAUAAAAUCUUUGCAUGGUAUCUUCGUCGCAGAGUCAUUCUUACUAAAUAUAACCUUAUUAAGAGGAAUUGGCAUGGAAGCCCACAAUGUGUAUUCUGUCACCAUGAGGAGACAAUAAAACAUUUAUUCUUCCAAUGCAAAUUGGCUCAUUCUAUAUGGUCAGUCAUCCAAAUAGCUUCUGGCUUGUAUCAUCCCUGUAGUGUUGCUAUUGUAUUUGGCAACUAG
Molecule: ribosomal RNA, 243 nt
Filed under: Triticum aestivum (bread wheat)
Lineage: Eukaryota; Viridiplantae; Streptophyta; Magnoliopsida; Poales; Poaceae
Description: partial small subunit ribosomal RNA
Source: RNAcentral